UCAUACAAUAAGCGGAGGAAAAGAAACCAACAGGGAUUGCCCUAGUAACGGCGAGUGAAGCGGCAACAGCUCAAAUUUGAAAUCUGGCUUCGGCCCGAGUUGUAAUUUGCAGAGGAAGCUUUAGGCGCGGCACCUUCUGAGUCCCCUGGAACGGGGCGCCAUAGAGGGUGAGAGCCCCGUAUAGUUGGAUGCCUAGCCUGUGUAAAGCUCCUUCGACGAGUCGAGUAGUUUGGGAAUGCUGCUCAAAAUGGGAGGUAAAUUUCUUCUAAAGCUAAAUACCGGCCAGAGACCGAUAGCGCACAAGUAGAGUGAUCGAAAGAUGAAAAGCACUUUGAAAAGAGGGUUAAACAGCACGUGAAAUUGUUGAAAGGGAAGCGCUUGUGACCAGACUUGCGCCAGGCUGAUCAUCCGGUGUUCUCACCGGUGCACUCGGCCCGGCACAGGCCAGCAUCGGUUCUCGCGGGGGGAUAAAGGUCUCGGGAACGUAGCUCCUCCGGGAGUGUUAUAGCCCGGGGCGUAAUGCCCUCGCGGGGACCGAGGUUCGCGCAUCUGCAAGGAUG
This 560-nucleotide ribosomal RNA is filed under the name Dichotomopilus funicola. RNAcentral's name for it is "partial large subunit ribosomal RNA". It matches the Rfam family "Eukaryotic large subunit ribosomal RNA", at positions 38 to 625 of the family's 3401-position model. Lineage: Eukaryota; Fungi; Ascomycota; Sordariomycetes; Sordariales; Chaetomiaceae. The record is from RNAcentral.